GUCUCUUGAGAAGAAUCUCUUGAAGGACAAUCUCUAAGGAAGUCUCUCAAGGAAGGCUGACUCUGGCUGGAACUUCCUCUGGGGAAACUCUGUCCCCUUGAAUCCUCGCUUGAACAGAUCUUAUGGAUCAUACAUUUGGAAUCAGAACCUUAGAGGUCUAUAGGAUCAGAGUUUUGAAGCAGGAAGAGACCUUCCAGGUUAUGUCUUUCAACUCCCUCCUUUUAAAGAGUGAAGCCUACCUUUCUGCAAUGUCCACAUGGAUCUGCCUUUUGGGGUCAUGUAGAAGAAAUCUAAUCUCUCUUUGCAUAAAUAGUUUUCCAAAUAUAUGAUUUAAACUCUUCCAUUCCCUUUCUGGUUUCUCUUCCCGAGGCCAAACAUCCUCAGGUCCUUUGCCUUAACUUUAUGUUGUCUGGCUUCCAGUUCUUUUAAACAGUCACUAGGGGAGAACAUUCCAAUUUUCCUAAUUCAUCAGCUGAGUUUUGAAAUGAUUGAUUUGAUGGUUAAUUUCCAAUGGUUAUUAAGGAAAAAUGCUUUAAAAAUCAGAAGCAAGUUUUUUUUUUUCUUUUUAACAAAGAAAUGUUAAUCAGAGAUUUACAGCUGAGCUCUUACAACCCAACAGAUGGUAUUUUGUAGCACAUGCCCAAGACACAUUAUUUUCAUUCUUGGCUGCUCAGAGAAUACAAAAUGUGUCUCCUCUGAAUCCCAAGUCAACCCUCAAUGAAGUCUUCUAACCUUUUGUGUCAUUGGAAGGUUGAGGCAGACAGUGAAGGUGUGCCUUUGUUGGGUUAAGCGUAGGUUUUCCCUGAUUGUCCGACAUGUUUCAUGGUAACCAACCCAACUGGCAUACAUACCCUACUAUCCAAAGAGCUGAGGUUCCAAAUUUCCAAAGGGAAGGGCACUUUUGACCACUGCAUUAUGCACAGUUAAAAUUACAACUGUCUUCUGGGAGUUUCCAUCC
RNAcentral lists this long non-coding RNA (958 nucleotides) under Monodelphis domestica (gray short-tailed opossum). RNAcentral's name for it is "lncRNA (ENSMODG00000038846.1)". Lineage: Eukaryota; Metazoa; Chordata; Mammalia; Didelphimorphia; Didelphidae. The record is from RNAcentral.